RNAcentral lists this unclassified non-coding RNA (19458 nucleotides) under Neodiprion lecontei (redheaded pine sawfly). Its description in RNAcentral is "pH and SEC7 domain-containing protein, transcript variant X6". The record is from RNAcentral. Lineage: Eukaryota; Metazoa; Arthropoda; Insecta; Hymenoptera; Diprionidae.
UGUGGCUGUCACUGUGACGCGUGCGUGCUGUGCGUGUUAGAUGCCAGUGUGUGCAUGCAGGAGUGGCGUCCACCACAUUUCGUCAUCUGUUGAUGCUCGUUAAAGAAAGCUGGGAGGUUACGUUCGGAACCAGCGGUCAGCGAUCGGUGUGCACCAAAAGGUCUUAUGUUUUUCUCCUUUGGCUGAGUUUCGUUCGUUCAGACUGUACUGGUUUCGUUGGAUUUGUUUUGUUUAUUUGUUGGUUGAAGUUUCGUCAAUGUGUUAGUUAAUGUGGGUUGUGCAGCAAAUGGCAGUGGUGAAAUCAAUGUGGCUAAAACAUGGCUGAGGAGCUACUGGUUACAUUAAACCGGAGCGACACGUCUGGAUUUGGUUUUUCGUUGCUCGGGUCAGCCGGUCUUCCACACAUCGUUUAUGACAUCGUUGAGAAUUCGCCGGCGGCUGAAAGCGGCAAGGUUGAAGCUGGUGAUGUUAUUCUCAGGGUGAAUGAAGUUGACGUAAACAGAUUCAGUACAAAAGAAGAUCCUGCCAUAAAAGCCCGAGUUCGCCGGCUUCUCUCACCCGGGCAUCCAGCCUGCGAGGAGUUCGACGCAUCCCGGACCACCUCUGACACAAAUUCUCAGGAAAAGUCUUCCAGCAACCACGAAGGCAAGGACCACCGUAAACCAGGAACACCGGAACUAGCAGUGAGCCAGCCGCAGGCGCCUCACGGCCCAUAUUAUGCAACUCGCACAAACGGGUCAUACAGUGAUGCCUCGUGUUCCUCGGAGCUCGAAGCUCUUCUUCCACAGGUUGAUAGCUUCAAAGAGGAGGAACGUGCCCAGUGGGAGCCACUAUCCGCUGAUAAAUUCAAUCGCCAGAAAAAUCCCCCCAGGUUUGAGGCCUACAUGAUGACUGGCGAUUUGAUGUUGAACCUAUCGAGGACGCAGCAAAGUACCGGACUCCUUCCGAAAUAUCAGAAAAAAGUGGAUUCUUUGAGGUACAACAAUCACCACAUACACCAUCAUCACAAUCACCAUAAUCACCAACAUCAUAACUCGGUACCUACGAGUCCCAACGAAAUGCUGAGCCACCGAAUGCACAGGGGUGGGGCUGGCUCAAAUUCUGCCAGCACCUCGCCCGUCGGUAUUAACAUCAGGCGCGAGUGCGGACAAGGUGCCGGUAGCGAUAGCAAAUCCAACUCGAACUUCGGCUACUCUAGCAGCUUCGUGCGGACAUCCAGGUCCGAGGAUCACCUGCAAUUCCAGAAGGAUCCGUCAAUGAGCGCCGUGGACAUUGACAUUGACGACGAUGUUACGUCAAGUCUUAACACGCUCCUAGACACCCGACCUGACAGUGGUCAAGGGAUAUCGAGCGAACGAAUCGUCUGGACUUACAACGCACCUGUUAGUUCACCUUCCGCCUCUGAGCGGACUUCCUGCUGCCAAAAUGGUAGCUCUUCACAGUCUUCGAGUAGCUCUCGUUCCUCGACUGAAGGAACCAGUCCUCAGCGUUCCUUGUCCCCCGCCUCUCCAACCUCUGUAUCUUCUUCCGUUAUGUCCUCGAAUUCUGGCUCCCGCAGGUUUCCUCUACCAACGGCUACCACUGGCGCAUCUUCCGGCCCAGUGGGCGAUGGGACACCCACGGGUAGUGGAGUCGGGAGCAUCUCAGGAGCAGGUGGAUACUUUCAUCCGACAAAUGGUGACCUCAGUCAGUCUGAGGCCAUUAGCAACAUGUCCAGCCCCGAUUAUAAUGACGAAGAAACAAUGGACAUACUUAGUGCGCGUGAUAUUAUGAUGGUUAGUGACCCUAGUGACAGUGAUUCCACAAUAUUAGCGAGUGAACCUCCUCAGAGGAGACUCCAAAACCCCGGUUAUGGAACUAACCAAGACAGUACUGAGCAUAGGAUAGUUAUUCAAGUUAAGGGACCCGAUAAAGAAAUCACUGGUAGUAGAAACAACAGCCUUCGCCAAUCCCGCCGACGAGGGAAUACCGCGACAUCGAAUGCGUCAGAGCUCAUACCUCCUUCGCAGAAUACCCAACGGUUUCAGUCAACGGUCAGCUCUGGAAAUGUCACACCGGAGUUUGUCGGUUAUCAGGAACUGAAAGAGAGCGAGGAUGAGAAGGAGGUACCAACCGUGGGCGAUUACGAGGAGCAACAGCACAUUGUCAAAGGUUCAUCGCCACCACAGUCUGCGGAUGAAGAAAGUGACAUUGAAAGUUUGCAUAGCUUCCAUUAUAGUCCGAAAGCUGUUGAUCUCCCAUCAGCAAUAAGACUAGCAAAACGAUUGUAUUCACUUGAUGGAUUCAAAAAGUCUGACGUCUCCAGACACCUUAGUAAAAAUAAUGACUUUAGUCGAGCUGUGGCUGAGGAAUAUUUGAGGUAUUUUAAUUUUGAGCAAGACACGCUGGACGUGGCUCUCAGAAAGUUCCUUGCCCAAUUUUCGUUGACUGGUGAAACCCAAGAGAGAGAACGAGUCCUUGUACAUUUCUCAAAAAGGUUUCUCGACUGUAAUCCGGGUACAUUUAAUUCUCAAGAUGCUGUACAUACAUUGACUUGUGCUAUAAUGUUGCUCAAUACUGACCUGCAUGGUCAAAAUAUUGGUCGUAAGAUGUCAUGUUCGGAAUUUAUUGAAAAUUUAUCCGAGCUAAAUGACGGAGACAACUUCCCUAGAGAGGUGCUCAAACAACUUUACAAUGCUAUAAAGUCAUUUCCUCUGGAAUGGGCACUAGACGAUGAAGGAGACGAUGCUGCAUCCCAAGUCAUGCAACAGGGGGAUGGACCAGCAUUAUCCGGAACUGGUAACCCUUUUUUAGAUGUCCCAAACGUAACUAGUGCUACAGAAUUCAAGAAAGGCUAUGUAAUGAGAAAGUGUUGUUAUGAUGCAAAUGGAAAGAAAACACCAUUUGGGAAGCGAGGUUGGAAAAUGUACUACUGUACAUUAAGAGAACUGGUCUUAUACCUACAUAAAGACGAGCAUAGUUUUCGCAGCGAUAGCUUACAUAAUGCUAUAAGAAUUCAUCACGCACUAGCAACAAAAGCCGCUGACUAUACAAAAAAGCAGCAUGUGUUUAGACUGCAAACUGCUGAUCAAGCUGAGUACCUCUUUCAAACUAGUGAUUCUAAAGAACUGCAGUCUUGGAUCGACACGAUCAACUUUGUAUGCGCCAGUUUUUCUUGUCAACCACUCGCAGGAGCUGUUGGAUCUCAGCGUAAAUUUCAAAGGCCUCUGCUUCCAUGCAGUCACACAAAACUGUCUCCUAGAGAACAGUUGCGAGACCACGAAGAAAUUGUCAGUCGACUGGAAGCAGAGCUCGAUGAACACAGAAGACAUCCGCCAGAACGAAAUUCAAAGGCUUUAACUGUACAAAACUACAAAGAAAAAGAUGUAUAUUUACAUUACGAGUUGAAGAGGUAUAAGACCUAUGCAUAUUUGCUGAGAUCACGGUUGGCCUUUACGGAUGUGGAACCUUCACUGGUCGAAAGCAGUAUCGGUGAGGUUGACGAAGGGACUGGAAACUUGGCUAAUACUGACGUAGCACUAGUACCACCGCCUGUUCCAGAUCGACUACCUACAAAUAGGUUCUGCGGGGCGUGGUGCUGCUUAUGGGGAAGGACUCAAGUGCCCCUAAGUCGCCUUGCCUGAAGAGCAGUCAAACCUUUUUGAGGAACUCUGGUGAAAAUCUUCAUUGAAAAUUUUUCUACACAACUCUUCAGAAUACCUCUGCAGAAGACUGUAAAUUACUGAGUUUCUCUCGUAACCUCUACGUUUUUAUUCCAAAUCUUGCAAUUUCUUGGUAUUUCUGAACAUCGUUCGAUUUUACUGUCACAUUUUUAAGAGAAACUCUGAAUUUUCUUACAUUUUAUUUGGCACUUCUCUCGAAUUCUGACCUUUACAUUUUUAUGUUAUUUGACUACAGAAUCCUACAUUGCAAAUCAAAAAUAGCAAUUCUCUAAUCUACUAUUUGGAUCAUUACUCAUUACUUUCAACUUCUUUUUUAUCCGGUGUUAACUUUGUCUGUAUAAAUAUCAAUUAGUUCAAUCAGCACAUAUAAACCGAAAUAAAUAGAAUCUGUGACAUUGUAGUUAGUAACGUUAGUGUAACUUACGUGUAAAAAAAAUUGCAGAAUAAAUCAUUGUCUUGCAACUACUAGAUGAUUCUAAUUGUAAGAGAGUAAAAUGGAGAAAAUAUGUACACAUUUAUUGUAUUAUUACGGUUUACUGAAUUCAAAAACAUUCUAAGUAAGAAAAUAACGACUUUUUCUAAAAAAAAAAUGCAUCGUAACAUUAAACGUUACUAACUUCAACUUCAUUCUAAUGAUACACAACACUACUUACAUGCUUGAAACUUGUAAAAAAUGUCCUCAGAACUAAUUAUUUGAAAGAGAAAAACGAAAUGAGAAUCCAGGGAAAAUUAUAAUCAUCUCGAGAAAAUUGACGUGCGCAAAAACUAGAUACAGAGAAAACAAGUGUGCUGACAAAAUUCAAAAUACCAUGUAGAUUUGGAGAAAUUUCUGUAGAAGAAACUUGCGGCAACAAGCAAGAAAUGUUUUCACAAAACUCUAUAGUUCUAUAAGAAGGUAAAAAUUUCCGAGUGACUAUCCUACAUAACUUUACCAUGAAAGACUGCAGACUUUCAACAAUCAGAAAGCUCAGAAACAGUCUUGUGUCCGUGGACUAUGAAUCUUUUAUAAAUCCUCAAGUCACGUGCAAGUUUAAAAACUGCCCGUUAGAUGCCAAAAUAAUUACCUUUCUGUUCCUUAUCGAUAAUUGUCUACGUCAUCUGAAUAUUUGUCAUUUUAUUUACAUAUACGUUUCUUAUGAAAUUCUCAUUUUAGAAGUGUUACAGAAUACGAUGCAAAAACACUGCUAAUACUUUUCAAAAACCAGUCACGCAGCUGUGAAAAUUGACCGCCAAUAUCUGUCGUGAAAUUAAAUAACAAAAUAAAAUUAUAUACUAUACUUUUGCACAAGUAUGUAACGUGAAGGCGGCUCCUGGUAUUUGAUGUGAUAACAUUAAAAAAUCAUUCUCCGAUCUGUGAUAUAGUUGGCAGAUACAUUCCUUAAGAGGAUGUUAUAGUCAGUCUUUAUCGACAGAGGAAAGUGUCACUUUUUUUACUUAACUAUUAUCAAAGCCUACGUAGUACUGACGUGAAAAUGCUGCAGUGGCCAUAAUUCUACACGCAAUGCCGAACAAAAAUAUCGUAAAACUUUGGUUUUUCAAGAGCGAGAAUAAGGCCGGAAAAUGUAUUCCUAUAAUAAGUGGUAAUUCAAUCACAGGAAUACAUUUCUAAACACAAUUGUUGCGUAGAUAAGUAACAUUUUUACCAACCGUCGUAACAUAAAGCGUAGCGUGCGAGACUGUGCAACUGCGUUUUUCGGCAGUUUUUCUUGUCCCUUUUGCGAAUGAGGGUGUUUCUAUUGAACCUCUUAAGUCUGCUGACGACGCAUGAUGAUGGUCACUUAGCCUUUCCCCCAUCACCAUGCGACGGUUUUAUAAUUUACAUGGUCUAUAAAGACCAACUGUAGCAUCCUCUUAACUUCCGACCCCUUCUGCGUAUUCAGCGAAUAAGGUAACUUGUGAUUGUUUCACUUUUGUGUGCAAGAUUUUUGUGAUGUAGGUUCAUUUUGGCUCUACAGCAUAAUUAGAGCAACAAAGGGGUGAAAAAUAAUCACCACUUGAUCGCAAAUACGAUUACUGCUACUGUGUUGGCAUUGAACAUACAAAUUAUAUAAAGUUUUAAGAAAAUCGUAAAACAUUGCUGUAUUGAUCAAGUCAUUUAUGGAUAUUUAGGAUUUUGCAAUGAUGUAACUUGACAGGAUAAAAAAUAAAAGCAAGGUAUCAAAAAUCGUUCUAGCAUGGAACGAAAAUUCAAAAUUGAAUUGAAAACAACGUAAAAAAUACGAAAGGCAAAAAUAAUGUGCAACAUUUAAAAUCAUUUAACAAUGAAAAAGCUAAGCUUUAUUUUUCGAUUUCGCAACAGAAGAUAGCUAUUGAUAUCGACCAUUGCUUGGUGGUUUUUCCUGAGAUAUUUUGUGUAAAUUAUUGCAAAUUGAACAUUAUUUGAUAUUUAUAAUGUCUUAGAAGUAGUGGUGAUUUUAUAUAAAUUUCUAAUUUAAUGUAUGAUCGCACUGGACGAGACUCCCGUUCAUGCGAACUCCAUACAAAAAUAUUUCCUGGUUACGAAGAUUUAAUACAAUCAGUGGGGAAAUUAUUUUGAAUGCGUAAGCUCAUAUUUCAAAUUUCAUGUUUAUAUGUAUAAUGGAGUAUUACAACUACGUAAACUCAUAAUAACAUACCUAGUAUUUCAAUGGCUGAAACAAAGUAAAGACGAAGUUAUGCUUCAGCACUGUUGAUGCUUGAUGAUUAAAGAGCCACUGGAAAUGACUGGAACAAAAUUUUUAGUAUGCAUUGUACCGGCAAUAAUUCAUGUUUACGUAAAUUUCAUUGCAGAAUAUUGCAUAGUUUCAAAGAUUCCUUAUGCGUUAUUGAAUGAUCGAUAUCCAUAGGCGUGUAGUUUUCGGUUGUAUUAACUAACCAUGAAAGUGUCACUAAAAUCGUUGCGAUCGUUAGAUUUUGCCUACAUUAAGGUGGUUCUCCUGCUACGGAGCGUAUUAAGUGGGUGCCAAACACGGAUCCUAUGUAAAAUUGUUAAUAAAUAUCUAAUUUUCAUUCAAACAACACUAAUAUGAAUGAUAAAUUUGAUAUAAAUAAUAUUGUGCUGAUUAACAAUGAAUUCCAAGAAAAAAUCAUAAGGUUUGUCACGAUUUCCGCGGUAUUACGUUCCUGAGAAAUUAGAAGUGUGGCAGCGCCGCCACUUUUUUUCGUUGUCUAAUCAUUGGCCCGUUUCUGCUCUACAUAGUACAAUGCUUUUCGAUAAUCUAUUGACUGCUUAUAUUACGAAAAGUGUAUCAACAGUUUUAUUCUUAUAUCGAUACGCAUCUUCUACAGAUUGGAUUUCUACUAUUAAUUUCAAAUCUGGCGCGACGUUGAUCAGAGCCCUUAUAUCAUAGCGACCUUGUCAAGUAUCUAUAACAGACUCACGACCAGACGCGUUCUGUAUGUAUCUUUUCCUUACUUUAUUAUUCAAUAUUUCUUUAGAAACUGCGAUUAUCCAUAUUUUCUUCGUAAUCUAUAAAAUCCUGAUAUUUCCAAGUGAAAUUAUCGUGUAAGUCUUAAGUUGUUCAACGUGACAAUUAUUUAACUCUCUCACGGCAACCCUACUGAAAAUUAUUGAAUGAUAAAUCGCAUAAUGUUAUGACCAAAAUUCGGAUGUAUUUUAUGAUGCAAUUUAAGAUGUGAAUACGACUUAAUACAUAGCAAAUAACACAAUAAAUCAUGAAGUAUAGAUUGUAAAAUAAAAUACAUAACAAAUCAAAUGUCGAAUCAUGGGUUUCGCUUUAUGAUUUUUUAUGUAUUUUAUCUCAUAAUCUAUACUUUAUAGUUUAUCAUGUGAUUUGUUACGUAUUAACUGGUAUUCACAUGUUGGAUAACAAUGAUAACAAAUUAAUCAAUCUCGUGAUGAAGUAAUCUACGGUUUCUCACAGUCAGGGUGGCGACAUACCGAGUAAUUCGGAAAAACCGGGAUCUGUCAGGGAAUUACGAUGAUCCACAAAGAAAAACGUACUUUUUUUUAUAAAUUAUUUUCAAACUUCAACUCUGCUUUUGUUGAAUUAUAUAUAUUAUUCACGGUGAUAUUAAAAUUAAUGUAAUAUUAUGUUUAUACAUAUUUGUGUGAAACGAAGUAAUACUAUGUGUUCCUCCAUUGAAAUUUAUAUAUUGAAGGUGCACAAUUUCUGGAUCUUUUUGUCCUAUAAGCCGCCCAACAUUGUACAAAUUUGGUGAAAUAAGGCCAGGGAAUGCUGAAUUUUUUGACACGGAAAGUCAGGAAAGAGUCGUGGAAUUUUAUUUGAAUAAAAUUGUCACCAGCCUGUUUGUUAUCCAGGAAUGUCACACUAAAAUAUUAUUUGCAUGUUCUGUACUCUAAUAUACCUUUAGCACUGAAUUUAUUCCUGACAUAACACCACUGCCUUGCCUGUAUCGAAUGUACAAAUUGUACCUAUCAUAAUAAAAUUAGUGAAUGUAUUCACUAUCGAUGAGUUACGCACAUAGGUAAUAUCCUGUAUUUAUGGCCACAGCCAGAGAUGACGUGCAGCUGUUUUGUAACUAUUUACUUGUAUUAAACAACUGGAGGAUUAAUAUUUUAUUGAAGAUUCUAAUAUGACUAUAUGCUACAGAGCGAUACAAUGUUAAUGGUAAUUAAUUUUGAUUCAUUGAUUUCUGUUGAAAGUCUGCUUUCAGAGUUAUGCGCACUUUUUAUUCUCUAUCCGACUAACGCAAAUAAUGCCUUAGCGAUGGCUCUGUACAUCGUAUACCUAUCAUUACCCUGUUUUGCUGAACAUUUAAAAUCAUUUUAUCAAACACACUUCAAUGUUGCUAAAAAUUCCAUUUCCUAUUAUUUAUUUUCAUGUUUUGGGCAGCUCUUAAUAUAUACUCGAUACUUAACUUAAUGCAAACACAUUAUUAUACAUAUUAAUUAUAUAUAUUAAUGAUGAUCAGCUCCUGUAAUUAAAUUUGUAAAAUAUGUGGAUAACAUAAUGCAAUUCUAGGCAAAGGGAAAGUAUGAAUGAUAAUGAAAAUAAACAGCUUCUGGAUUACGUAACAUAUGAAUUUUUAGAUUUAAACCCAAGACAUAGAUGCAUCCAGCAUGAUUGAGUUUUGAAUGUUAUCUGUACUCCAUAAUGCACGAAAUGAUAAAAAGCAUGACUCACUUUGAUACAUUAAUUCAGAGUUCACAGACAUGUAUACAAUUUUACCCUUACGAUUACUUCAUAUAAAAAAACUAUUUAAUAAAACACGUACAUUUUUGGCAACCUCGGUAAUUCUGGCAAGAGAGUCCCAAAAUUGCUGUGAUUUUGGGAAACGUAUUGUGAUCAAAAUGGCGUUUAGUUUCAAAUCUGAUUAUGCACUUCUUAACAUUUUUUGCUAUCCACUUUUCUUCUUGUACGAAAUUUAUAGAUAUAUAUAUAUACAGUGGUAGAUUCACCCUAGACAAUUCGUUGGUGAAUUUCAUAAAUUAUUUUUCGGAUGAAAUACCAAUUCAGAAAAUAAUUCAAUCAAUGCAAAUUUAAAUCCGUUUAUCUCUUCAUAUUUCAAAUAUGCAAAUAGCUUUGUGUUCUCGAGCAAGAAGUUUUAGUUAUACGUUGUACUCGUAUUCAAAGCACCUUGAGUGUAACAGAUUGAAAGAGGAAUAGCUCACAGCAAAUAACAGUCUUCUGUCUGAUUGCUGUCAAUCUCAAUUACCAAAAGCACAUCUUGUCACUAAUUUUCUACAAAAUUGUUCAUCAGAAACAAUUCAGGACCGCAUCCAAUUAAACAGAUAAACGGAAGCCCCUUGCUUAAAAAAAUCCACCAUGUUGUUAUCUGGGUAUCUACAUUUAUCAAGUCCUCAUAAUUACAUGUUCUCAAUUUUGAUACCUCCUGUUGGACAAAUCUGAAUCAAUGUAACGUGUGAAUCAAAAGGACUAGAGACCAAGAGACCAAACUCGGGUGGUAGGAAUAGGCUUGUAUAUAGCAGUCGCUUGGCAGCGAUACUAAGCGCAGAAUACUUGCGCAAUGCGGUACUGCGCAAUCAAAUGAUUCAAAAUAAUUCGAGUCUGUCCCCUAACUUUGAAACAAAUGAAUGUGGAGAUGCGCAGUAUCGGAUUACGCAAGUCCGCCAAGGGCAUUCUAUGUAUCGGUCCACUUCAAAUUACGGACUUGGAUAGGAGUUCGGUCUCCUGGUCUCUAGUCUUCCUAAUGUAAAUGGAGGACCCACUGAUGACCUGAUUCUGAGCAGCUUCGAUACAAGUAACGCCAUUUCGUCACCCUGGUCAAGCUGAACUGGCCUUAUUCUACUAGCUCACUGCAGUCAUCAUCCAUUGCAUACACAAGGCUGCAUUUUCUAUUACAUUACCAUAAUAAUAUACAAACGAGACAUCACAAGUCGAACUUUUCAUUCUGAUUUCAGUUAAAUAAUAAUCAUAGCAAAAUGAUUUAGAUUUUACGGGAAUAUUAUAAACUCUAUGAUAUUAGUGAUGACAAGUGUUGUGUUCAGGCGCGGUACAGAGCAACUGUUCAGAAACGACAUCAACUCAUUCGACUCUGUACGGCGCAAAUAGCAACGGACAGUAUUUAACCGGGUGAACUCUUGAGGACGUCUGUAAGUGGUUUCACUUGUUGCGUUUCUAUGAAUUUACAAUCAAGGUGACUUUUAGAGAUCAACAAACGGGAUACACAAUCGCCUGUAGACGGUCUGUGGAUACAUCGUAUUUUGCUAUCACGAAACAUUGAAAAAUACAUAGUUUCUUUACAAACUGAAAAAUAGCCAUUGAUCAUAAAACUUUAGAUAAUGGUAACAAUUUAUAAAUACCAUUCAUUGAACAUUCUUUAGUAAAAUACGUUGGUAUUGCAUAAUUAGAUUGCGAUCGCUGUAUGAAACAAAAUUAAUAUGGUUUCAGAAUACAAAAUAUUUAUUUUCUCUAUGUAAUAUUGUCCUCUUCAGCGGAUUCAGUAUGAGGUAUUUGAAGUUAUCCUUGAGUUGAAAAUAAAAUUUUAUAAUUCCACUAUAUUGGGUAAAAAAUUUACACUUGAAUUUAAUAUUAAACACUAUCAGAAUAUAAAUACUACGGCUUAUACAAGAGAAUUAGAUAUUAGGUCAUGUUUUAUGUACAUUGGAUGAUACGUUUGUAAUCUGAUUAUAUCGGACUUGGCUCCAGAAAAUACUUAUGAAAUUUAAGUUUGUAAUUUUAAGUUGUCGAAAUAUAUUGAGUAAAAACUAGCACAUUGCAACUUGAGAAUCAUCUUAAAGGAGUAAGAUUUCCAAAAUAUAUCGGUACUUUUUUGCUUUAUUUCAAUUUACUGAAUUUCUGGCAAUUCUGAAUAUGAUGGAAGAACGAUUUUCUCUAGAAAUGCAUUCUUACAGUACUAUUAGAAACUUCAACCUCGUCAUACUUUUACGGAUAUAAAAAAAAUUAUCGUGCUCUGUCUUGCUGUAAUGGAACACGUACUGACGUUAUUACCAUGUGAAUAUUCUACUUGUGGUACCUCGUUCGUGUAAUUGUAUAUAUUUUUUCUGCAGACACAUUAUUUUACUAUCACAAAUAUUAUUACAUCGACAUUGUUCAUUUUCCCCUCCAUAAUUAUAAAAUGUAUAAAUGCCAAAGAAUUGCAUUUAAUUACUUGUACUUUGCUGACUAUCUCAUUAUUGUGUGUAUAUUUAUAUAUACUUGUUAAUUAUGACGGAUCAAUUUGUUUCGUAAUUUUUAUAUGACUUUAUAUACGUGCUUCUCUACAAAUACCUAAAUUACGUUUGUUUCCAGUACAAGAUAAUGUAAGAAUCCGAUUCAAUUCGCUUCAUUCGCACCGUAAUUUUGAUUCAUUUUUUCUUGGUGUUACGCAACAUUGGGGACAAAUAUUAUAUGCACGGUAACAUGUACAAAGUUCUACGCAAUUCCUUUAAUUACAUUAAAAGAAACUUCAGAAAGCACUACGUAUUUUUAUUAUUUACAUCAAACGCUGGAACUCGGAAGCAUGUGCAUACUAGGAACUCUGGAAGUAAAUCAAAUUUAUCCACAGCGAUUUCCGCUGGAUUCGAAAAAUUGAAAAGUCAAAAUCUUUAUUUUUAUUUAGAACGAAAUCUAAUUGACUUCCGCACAUGCGACUAUAAUUUUUUCAUGUUAUUAUAUUUUAUUCAGAUUCCGAAAAUAUUGACAAAUGUAGGCAAAAACGUUUAGGUACUUACCGCAGUUGGUACAAAUUUGAAAUUUUAUAAUAAUGUACAGUUCAUACAUUCAUAUUUUAUUUCAAACCGUUAACGCUUCUGAUUCCCUAACGACGUUGUUCUAUCCUUUUUAGUACCAUGCUAUUGUUUAACGCAACCUUCACAAGCGGUAAUGGCUUCUAACUCACCUUUACAGAAAAAUUGUGCAGAUUUGUAACAGUGGUAUGAUUAGUAGUAGUUCACUUAUAAUCUAUUCGAAGUGGUUCAUAAUAUAAUUAGUGCACUAAUUGUUAGCUGAAAAAACGCAAUUAUCAAUUAUCAAGCAUCAUCACAAAUCUUAUCAUACAUUUAUAUAUAUAUUCGUUUUCCGUGUAAUAUUACUAUAAGACUGAAUGAAAUGUCAGAGGAUGAAGAGAUAUAGUGUAAUUGUUUCCCCGAUAUGAAAAUACAUGACAUGAUUUAAGAUCUUGAUUACUUUUCGAUCAGAGAUAAAUUGAACUAUUGUAGGCAUGAAUGGAACAAAGUCCUUGAGUAGACUUGGACAGACUUACAACUGAUAUCCAUGUACAUAAAUUUUUUUUGCUGGCUAAAUUAUCAAAAAUAUAUUCGUCGAAUAUUUGAUUUAGAAAUUGUCGCUUCGGUAAAAAUUUUUGGUGUAAAUAACGUCCGACAAUUCUAGGUUCGCAAUAUCGAGAAAAACAUUGUUACUGUAUUCGCUUUGUGGGAUCGAACUGUGGCGCAAAAUCAAGAUGACAGCUGUUGACUCUGCACUUGUAACUUCAUUUAAACCCUACAUUGAGUUUCCACGGUUGGUGGAUAUCAUUUGAUAUUUGACGCAAAAUAAAAUGACAACUAGAGCAACUGAAGUAUAAUUUCACGUUGAACUAGAUUAUAGUAGUGGAUAAUUUAGUCCGCAAAACUCACUUGUACGUUUGUACAUUUAUCACGAACAAAUAGGUAGGUAUAGCUUGAUAAGUGCAUCGCUUAGUUCUAGAAACCAUUUGAAGAUUGCAUCCGUGAGUAAAGUUCAUCAAUGGAGAAUGUGGAGAUACAUAUGGAUGCGCGUCUUAUCAGAGAGUUACACGAUUUUGAAAAAUAUUUCAACCGUUGUAUAAUCUACUAAAAUACAUGCCAAUCGUUUUCCGAAACUUAUAAAAAAACAAUUGUUCACAGAAACCCACUAAAACAACAUAAGCAUUUUGAAUAUAUGCAAUUACAACUUCCACAAGCACUUUUGUUUCGGAAAUACGAUUUUUGAUUUAGGCAUCUGUUCCAUCCAUGCCUUGAAUUGUUCUAACAGUUUAUUUAGUUUAUCUGGGACAUUUCAUAUCAACUCCGCCAUUUUUCACUAACCGACGUUUAGAUUUUCAUAAAAAUUUGAUGUGCCAUUACUAAUUGCAAGCAACAUACCAAUGGCUGAACAGCCAUACGAAAUGAAAGCUUGUCAAGUCGUAGUACCAUGCUUGAGAUAUCCAGCUACUGGCACUUUUAUCUAAUGGAAAAAAUAAACAGACCCCUCUUUUACGAAUUCGUUGAAUUUUGACUACCCUGACCAAUGAUAUGAAUAUGUAUGAAAUUUUUUAUUCCAAAUUAUUGAGAGAAAUGCCACAAAUUUAAAUUCAUCACAAGUCUCGGUAAAUUUCGUGCUGACUACGCUAAUAAAUAAUCUCGACUUGAAGAAAACUACUAUGUAAAGUGAGAAAUACACUAGACCACGACUUUACAUCACUUGGUUGUUCAAACUUGUCGAGUCAAGUCGAGUCGAGUCAAGUCGAAAAAAAACCGGAUAAGUGCGAGUAUAAUUCACGCUCUGAUGGUUCCGAACAAACUUUAUUUUAUUUUUUUAAGUGAUAUAACUACAAAUGAACUAUUUUCGGAUUAUUUCGCUUACAUGUGCUGUGAGACCUUGCUUCUCUCCAAUUUUCAUGAUUCUAGGUCAACAGGAAGUACCCUAUAAGUUUUGAUUAGCGAGCUUGCACGUUUCAAAAUAUGUGACAUAAAUGGCUGUAUCUUUUGACUGCAUUGAAUUACAAGAUUGAAUUUUUUACAGCUCCAAGAGACCGUAGACCUUAGUAUUUAAUAUUAAUUUCAAUUUCAUACUUCUAUCCAUUCCUGAGAAAGAGGGUUUUGACAGACGGCCAGACAGACAACAGACAAGUGGACAAUUAAGUGAUCCUAUAAAGGUCCUGUUUUUUCCUCUUGAGGUACGAAAACCUAAACAUUGAAGUCCAACUUAUACGAAUGCGCAUUUUGAAUAGUAACCAUAGACUACAUCCUAAAUGUCUCACAAUUAGAAAAAAUAGAAAUUUCCUACACCGCCGAGGUUUUGACAGAAAUAACGUAUUAUGUAUGUAUGUACAUUGAAGCGCAAUGACUGCUACGCGUUUUUCUAGACUUGAGGGGGUGCUGUGAUUGACUUCGACAUUAUCGUAGAUAUCUUGAUUUAUCCAAGUCCGUGUGUCUCAAACGCAAAAAGGGACAUAACAGCCUCAACACUCAAUUCUGAACAAAAACACUCCGACACAUUUUCAUUUGACGCAGAAAUAAAGAAAUGGCAUGAAUUCUACAAAUUUACUAUUGCGAUUUCCUUUGAACCACUUGGAUUUUCAACGAAAAUUUUUACGAUCCUGGAUGAUGCUGGAAUCAAUUCUUUUAUGCGCUACAUCGACAUAGUUGGGCAAGAGGAAUCGAUUAGGCGCAGUCCGAAUACGUUGCAAGCAAAGGAUCAAAAGUUACAUCCAAAAUACCUAAAACCUACGCAGAAUUUUCACAGAGGUAUGGGAAAAAAAUUAAAUAAUAAUAACCACACAGGUUCAAACUCAGUUCAGUACAGUUUAUUCAACAUACCUUAAUUCUAGUGCAAGUGUUUCGGUAUAAGUGAAUAGCAAUUUAACAAGUUCACGAAUAUAAUUAAAGUAUAGAUAAAAAGAAAUACAAAAAUAUGAUUAAACAUUACACCAGAUAUCUCAUUGUGAUAUGAGGAAAUGGGUGUACAGCAUAUAUAUUGUCUUAAGCAGAAUAUUAAAAAUACUCUAUCCGAUGGUGAUUAUUGUAGUUUUCAAAUAUAGCUGAAGUGUUGGCCUGCAUACAGGUGCAAACUAGGAAAAAAAUCGAAUUGUCAAAAUUGAUCAAGAAUCGUAGUUUUUUUGUAGUUUUUUCAUAGAAACCUACGAUUCUUUAUGAAUAUCCAUGAAAAUUAACGAGAAUUCACGAAAGUAUGCAACUUCCUUAAAAACAUAAGUUUUGCCUAGAUUUUGGUACAAAAGUAUGAAUAUCUAUAAAGAUCUACAAUUGAAAUCAUGAGAUAUAGUUCCGCAUAUAUUUCGAGAAAAUAAAAUAUAAAAUCUAUGAAAAAAAUCACCGUAGUUGAUCGGAAUAGUUUCUUUCGAUUAAGUAGACCAAAACUACGUCGAUCUACGAAAUUCUGAGCCUCAAAUUCGCACUAAAUCUAGAGAUAUGAAAACCUAUGGAAAAAUUACAACCGUAAUUGAAUGGAAUAGUUUCUCUCUACGAGGCAGAACAAAACUACGUUGAUCUACGAAAAUCUAAGCUAAGAAUUCGACAUGUUUAAAACUACAACUUUUCGUAAACUCUAUGAAUUCUCAUAAGAAAGCACAAAUUUUUAUGAAGAAUUGUGACGAUCGACAAUUUUAGGAUACAUUUUAAAUCGAUAGGAUUACGAAUAUGUAUGAGAAGGUAUGAAAUACUAUUUUUGAACCACCGCUAGACGUCGCAUUUCUCGCACAAGGAAAAUUUAUUGCAGACAAGUUGAGUUCCUAGCAAAAUACAGGUCUGCGUCCAAAGACUGAUCUCAUUUUCUGACCGUAAGUAUCUGGACGGACAUGAGAAUCUGUCGUAUAAUUUUGAACUCACCUUAUCUCAAUAGGUGAGUCUUAUGAAAAAAUUAAUAACAUUCAUGUGAUUCUACUAAACCAGGAACCGUGGUGAGAAUAAUUCCAUGACGUUCUACGCAAAUUUCUACGGAUUUUCUAUGCGAAUUUCUAUGCAAGAGUAUAAGAUAUGGGCCGAUUCAUAGUUUUUGAACUUGGAUUUCGUAACAAUUCGUACUUUUUCGUAGAUUAUAAUCGUAAACAUAAUUUUAAAUAUUACAAUCAACAAAAAACUACGACAUCCUGCAAAAAACUACGAAUUGUUAUGUAAAUCCAAGUUUGAAAAUUAUGAAUCCGCCCGAAAUCUACACUUCUGUGUAGAUAUUUCCAUGAAAAUUCAUAGAAAUUUCAUUGAAAUUUUUAUGGGAAUUCAUAGAAUUACUUUUACCAAAUGCCUGAAUUAAAAUAAAUAAAAAAUCCAUUUUCUUCCUGUUUCCUCAGCUGUCGGUCUUUUGCUGUUCUAGAUGUCUUUUUCACAUUCCUGAGGGUCCAUUAAUCUAGAAAGGUUCAUACAAAUCGAUUCUGAGACGAAUGAUUUUUUGCUCAAAAAAGUAACUCCUUCGGAUUUUUGGUGAAUAUUUUAACUAUUUUGAAAAAUGCUGGAAUCAAUUCUUUGAUGCACUAUGUCAACGUAAUUUUGCGAAAAAAAUCGAUUGGUCGUAGUCUGAAUACGCUGCAAGCAACGGAUCAACAAUUACAGCCGAAAAACAAACGAUUUCCUUCGUAACUUCUCUGCAGUUGGUUCCACGCUCUUUUUGAUGUGAUAUAUUGAUGAGUGUUUAUAAUUCCGACAAAAAAAUAUCGUCCAAGUUCACGAGGUACCCGCAAAUUACCAGUCAAUAUGGGGACUCUUGUUACAAAACGUCUUGAUGAUAAUAUAGUUCACUUUCUUUAAGAAAUAAACUUCACAAUUUACCCACUAUCUCACAGGCAAAAUUCAGGAUCUUAAAUCAUUACACAAUUGUAUUCUCGGGGUAAUAUGAUUAUUAGAGGUUACCGGAAGAGUGCUGAAAUUCUGGGGAAAAUAGUAUCGACUUUGUCGGGAAUACAUAGUAUAUACUUAGACUCGAAAUUCGUAAUAAUCAACACGGGUUCUGCCACAAAUGUAUAGUGGAGCGGACAGAUAUGAGCCAUUAUAAUCUAGGCUACUUAGAUGAUAACCUUCGGAACAAUCUUGUGUUUGGAGGUCAAUGGACAGAGUCGCAAUCUAACUAGGUAAUAUAAUUAGAAAUUGAAAAAAGCAUUUGUUUUUCAUUGCUCUUGAGAUAAUGGUUGUAUGAGGUUCGUCGAGGUUUGUUACAGCAUGGACUUGAACAUUAGUAACAAUCGAGUGUUAUCUAAUUUCCAAAAAAUAUUUACAAGUAGUAUUUUUGUGGAGUGGUCUGAAUUUUCCAAUGCAAAUAAACUGUAUUUUUAAAAGAUCACAUAUGUCUAACGUAAUUUAAGAAAUUAUUUAAUUAAUGAACGUAUGAGCGCGAUUGAAGAUAUACCUAUACGGGACUUUCUUUUACAAACCGACACCUUUCUGAUCGACAUAUUCUUGAUUUAGCUGAAUUUUUUUUACGGAUUCUGUAGCGAAAAAAGAGAUACGUAUUUGAAAAUUUUUUUGUCACAUAUUUUGGAAAAGAGGGGGGAUUGAAAAUUUGAAAAUUUGGUGAUUUUCGGCUUGGAGACUCAUUUUCAAAAAUUCAUAACCCCGGUUCUAUUUGAGCUAGAAAGUUCUUUUUUUCCUUUUUAAAACUAAAAGAAUGAAUUUUAAUAAAAUAAUAGUUUCAUUAAAAAUUAUUAACAAAUCAAAUUCAUAUUCUUAUAAACAAUCAAAAUGUUUAACCCUUAGUGGCCACACCUCAGCCAGGUCAAAUAGCGGCCACACGGGGUCAUUACCCCACGCUGAAAAACCUAGUUGUACAAGACGUAUGGGUGUUUUAAAGACUUCUAACCGUGGUGUGAGUAUACAUGGUGUGCCCAUAGACUGUGCCUAGGAGUGCAGCUUCUCUCUCUAUAAAAGUUUGUCUCUCGCGCUGGACUGGGCUGAGUUCAGAAACCUUACCCGACUGAACUCUGAUAUCAUACCGUCUCUGUCUAACACAUAAGAUUGAACAAAGACACAACGAUACUCGAGGGAGCUUUCCAGCAACGACACAGAGCGACACAGAGCAACACUGUGUCGAACAUGGUGCUUUCCAACAACGACACAGAACGACACAGUCGGACACAGCUGCGGAGCAUGGUUGGACACUGUGUCGGAUUCAUUACUGCCAAUUUUUUAGCUAGAGAUUUUAUUUUCGACGCAUGGUAUUGUUUAUAUUUAUUUAUUAAAUGCAAUGAUAAUCUACACGCGUUUCACAAAUGUUUUUUUUCCUGGAGCGCUCAAUGUUCCUAGAUUUUUCGUAUAAUGCAUGAGCGGACUCUAGUGACUGAAUUAAGAACCUCAAAGCGUUCCAACAAGCACCAAGGCACAGUGUUCGACCGUGUAACACAGUGCCACACUGUGUCUCCUUGCUGGAAAGCUCCCAGUGUGGUAUAUACGACCGUGGGUUCCCCAUUUAUUAUCCAUUGUCGGUUACGGAAAGCCCUAUUGGGCUAGCAGUCUUUAUCCAUUGUCAAUCAACGCUCGAAGUUCAUGAAAUCGCGGUUAAUCUAGGGGUUCAUCAACGGGAUGAGUUUAUAACUCUGAACAAAUGACAUAAAAAGUGAUUCUUCACUUUUACCAAAGCUACAGCUGCUUUUCUUCAGUACGCGCUCAUUACAAUUACUUUGUGUUUCCUAUUAAAAAUCGAAUUAUUUCCUGUACAAUAUAAUUCAGUCUGAUGUCCAAUUUGCCAUCGCACUAUUCGAAAUUGUAUUAUAAUAUAUAAUUGGGAAUUUAUUAGAGUAAAUAAUAGAAAAUGAAUGAACAGUAAUAGUAAGUGGUAAGUUGAAUUAUAUUGAAUUAUUGAAGCCACAUUUAACUUUAAUGAAGAAAAUAUAACAAACUUGUUGAUCAUAGCAUAAAUCAUUAAUAUGUGAAUUGCAUGUGCCAACCUAUUUCAUAUAGUCCUUAAAAGCCACAUUUAACUUUAAUGAAUAAAAUAUAACAAACUUGUUGAUCAUAGCAUAAAUCAUUAAUAUGUGAAUUGCAUAUGCCAACCUAUUUCAUAUAGUCCUUAAUAUUUAGCAUAAAUAUCACAAUUCAAUUUGUAAAGCUACUAAUACAUUGCGCAAUUACCGUUUGAUGGUUACAUAUCAGAUAUCUGUUAUAUUAUAUACAUAGUGUGAAAACUGUUAUAAAAAUGUAAUAAAUAGUUAACAUGAAAUAUAACUUUGCUCAAGUAUUAUGCAGUACAUUAACUGUCAAUGUAUUGCAAUCAAAUUUCAAAGCUCAAACACUCUUUGCUCUACAUGGGGUAUUCCAUAUCAAAUCGAACCUACUUUUUUCUCUGUUGCUCUAUUGAAAUUUUCAUCCUUGUUUUCACCCUCAUCUUUUACUUACAAAUAAUCACUUGUGUCCAGUAGUACAAAGUACCAAAGCAUAGUAGAGCAGAAAUAAGCACUGAUGGUCCCCAGUAGUGAGGAGUACUAGAGUCCAGUAAUGCGGAAGUGAUCGCCACUGUUCUCCAGUGAUGCUCCACUUUAAUAGUGACAAAUAUUCUACGGCAGUAAAACACUAGUACUUCAAUUGUGCAGCGGUGCACUUAUGUACGGCGAAAGUUAUGAGACCAGUGCCUAAAUGUCAUUUUAAUACAGUCUCUGACUUCUAGUACUCUUUUUUGCGUUUUUACUCAUUUAUGUCAUUAGCUAAUGAGCUAAACAACUGAAGUCUGAUUACUCUACGAGCAGUAAUAGUAAA